GUACAAAAAUAGCUACUUCCGGUUUACACAAGGUCACUUCCGGUUGUUUUUUUUAAGGUUAAAUGGUUUGAUACCUUUCGCCAAAAGUCUCAUGGAUAUAUCAUGUAUAAAUAUGAGCUGAGAGCAAAGGUCAAAAACUAGAACGUCAAAUUAAUCUAUGACCUUGAGAUCAAUUUCAAGGUCAUAAACCAAGGACCUCAAAUCAAAAGACCAUAGGACUUAAUUAUAUUUGGUUAAUCAGUUAAAUCACCAUACACGUAUUUUUAAAUACAAGAGGGGAGAAAACUCACUUUUACGUUCAACGUACCCUUGCAAUCAAAAUUUACGUGUUACGACAUGUCGCAACUAACUAUUUAGAAAAAAUAAUUUGUCGAUAUCUUAUACAGUUUCUGGAAAUUAGUGGAAAUAAGCCAAAUUCAAAAAUUGGAAUAUGACCUUGACCUUUGACCUUGACCUAAUUUUUAUUUUUUUGGACCAAGGACCUCAAAUCAAAAGAUCCUUGGUCUUUAGCACUUAUGGUUUACAAGAUAGAAAUGCAUAUCACUUAUAUCAAAUGCAUAAGGG
This 564-nucleotide long non-coding RNA is filed under the name Mytilus galloprovincialis (Mediterranean mussel). Lineage: Eukaryota; Metazoa; Mollusca; Bivalvia; Mytilida; Mytilidae. The record is from RNAcentral.